RNAcentral lists this ribosomal RNA (494 nucleotides) under uncultured bacterium. RNAcentral describes it as "partial 16S ribosomal RNA". It matches the Rfam family "Bacterial small subunit ribosomal RNA", at positions 28 to 507 of the family's 1533-position model. The record is from RNAcentral.
GACGAACGCUGGCGGCGCGCUUAACACAUGCAAGUCGAACGGAAAGGCCUGCUUUCCCUUGUGGAUUGCGGGUACUCGAGUGGCGAACGGGUGAGUAACACGUGAGUGAUCUGCCCCCAACUUGGGUAUAAGCCUGGGAAACUGGGUCUAAUUCCCGAUAGGACUGCAGGGUGGUGCCUGUGGUGGAAAACGAUUUUCUAGUGGUUGGGGAUGAGCUCGCGGCCUAUCAGCUUGUUGGUGGGGUAAUGGCCUACCAAGGCGGCGACGGGUAGCCGGCCUGGGAGGGUGGACGGCCACAUUGGGACUGAGAUACGGCCCAGACGCCUACGGGAGGCAGCAGUGGGGAAUAUUGCACAAGGGGCGGAAGCCUGAUGCAGCGACGCCGCGUGGGGGAUGACGGCCUUCGGGUUGUAAACUCCUUUCGACCGCGAGGAAGCCACCUGGUUGGAAGGGUGGUGACGGUAGUGGUAGAAGAAGCACCGGCUAACUACGUG